GGAGGAUUAGCUCAGCUGGGAGAGCAUCUGCCUUGCACGCAGGAGGUCAGCGGUUCGAUCCCGCCCCGAGCCACUUCCA
This 79-nucleotide transfer RNA is filed under the name Bacillus pumilus. RNAcentral describes it as "tRNA-Ala". The stretch from base 1 to 68 matches the Rfam family "tRNA". Rfam says of the family: Transfer RNA (tRNA) molecules are approximately 80 nucleotides in length. The record is from RNAcentral. Lineage: Bacteria; Bacillati; Bacillota; Bacilli; Caryophanales; Bacillaceae.